GAUGAACGCUAGCGGGAGGCCUAACACAUGCAAGCCGAGCGGUAUUGUUUCUUCGGAAAUGAGAGAGCGGCGUACGGGUGCGUAACACGUGUGCAACCUGCCUUUAUCUGGGGGAUAGCCUUUCGAAAGGAAGAUUAAUACUCCAUAAUAUAUUGAACGGCAUCGUUUAAUAUUGAAAGCUCCGGCGGAUAGAGAUGGGCACGCGCAAGAUUAGCUAGUUGGUGAGGUAACGGCUCACCAAGGCGAUGAUCUUUAGGGGGCCUGAGAGGGUGAUCCCCCACACUGGUACUGAGACACGGACCAGACUCCUACGGGAGGCAGCAGUGAGGAAUAUUGGUCAAUGGGUGCAAGCCUGAACCAGCCAUCCCGCGUGAAGGACGACUGCCCUAUGGGUUGUAAACUUCUUUUGUAUAGGGAUAGACCUACCCUCGAGAGGGUAGCUGAAGGUACUAGACGAAUAAGCACCGGCUAACUCCGUG
Molecule: ribosomal RNA, 479 nt
Filed under: uncultured bacterium
Lineage: Bacteria
Description: partial 16S ribosomal RNA
Rfam family: Bacterial small subunit ribosomal RNA
Source: RNAcentral